This 245-nucleotide unclassified non-coding RNA is filed under the name Helotiales sp. Its description in RNAcentral is "partial contains 5.8S ribosomal RNA, internal transcribed spacer 2, and large subunit ribosomal RNA". The stretch from base 1 to 52 matches the Rfam family "5.8S ribosomal RNA", at positions 103 to 154 of the family's 154-position model. Lineage: Eukaryota; Fungi; Ascomycota; Leotiomycetes; Helotiales. The record is from RNAcentral.
AACGCACAUUGCGCCCUCUGGUAUUCCGGGGGGCAUGCCUGUUCGAGCGUCAUUACAACCCUCAAGCCAAGCUUGGUAUUGGGCCAUGGCUAAGUAAACAGCCGGCCUUAAAAUAAGUGGCAGCACUAAUCCAGCUCUAAGCGCAGUAAACAUUUUACGCUUUUGGGCCUGGCUUGGUUGCUUGCCAGGAACCACCAAAUUCAAAGGUUGACCUCGGAUCAGGUAGGGAUACCCGCUGAACUUAA